RNAcentral lists this ribosomal RNA (330 nucleotides) under uncultured Chloroflexota bacterium. Its description in RNAcentral is "bacterial SSU rRNA". It matches the Rfam family "Bacterial small subunit ribosomal RNA", at positions 28 to 351 of the family's 1533-position model. Lineage: Bacteria; Bacillati; Chloroflexota. The record is from RNAcentral.
GAUGAACGCUGGCGGCGUGCCUAAUACAUGCAAGUCGAACGAGGUGCUUGAGUAGCAAUACAAGAGUAUCCUAGUGGCGAACGGGUGAGUAACGCGUGGAUGACCUGCCCCAAAGUGUGGGAUAACAGUCCGAAAGGAUUGCUAAUACCUCAUGUGGUUGUUGGAUUUAGAAACUGACAACUAAAGCAGCAAUGCGCUUUGGGAGGGAUCUGCGUCCCAUCAGCUAGUUGGUGAGGUAACGGCUCACCAAGGCGACGACGGGUAGGGGACCUGAGAGGGUGGCCCCCCACAAUGGAACUGAAACACGGUCCAUACACCUACGGGUGGCAG